GUCCCCGUAGCUCAGAUGGAUAGAGCACUUCCCUCCUAAGGAAGGGGUCGGACGUUCGAAUCGUCUCGGGGACGCCA
This 77-nucleotide transfer RNA is filed under the name Desulfuromonadales bacterium. RNAcentral's name for it is "tRNA-Arg". It matches the Rfam family "tRNA". From Rfam's summary of the family: Transfer RNA (tRNA) molecules are approximately 80 nucleotides in length. Their secondary structure includes four short double-helical elements and three loops (D, anti-codon, and T loops). Further hydrogen bonds mediate the characteristic L-shaped molecular structure. tRNAs have two regions of fundamental functional importance: the anti-codon, which is responsible for specific mRNA codon recognition, and the 3' end, to which the tRNAs corresponding amino acid is attached (by aminoacyl-tRNA synthetases). tRNAs cope with the degeneracy of the genetic code in two manners: having more than one tRNA (with a specific anti-codon) for a particular amino acid; and 'wobble' base-pairing, i.e. permitting non-standard base-pairing at the 3rd anti-codon position. The record is from RNAcentral. Lineage: Bacteria; Pseudomonadati; Thermodesulfobacteriota; Desulfuromonadia; Desulfuromonadales.